This 787-nucleotide ribosomal RNA is filed under the name uncultured bacterium. RNAcentral describes it as "bacterial SSU rRNA". It matches the Rfam family "Bacterial small subunit ribosomal RNA", at positions 8 to 796 of the family's 1533-position model. The record is from RNAcentral.
AGAGUUUGAUCCUGGCUCAGAGCGAACGCUGGCGGCGUGCUUAACACAUGCAAGUCGAGUGCGCGUCCGUAGCAAUACGGAUGGCGCACGGCGCACGGGUGCGUAACACGUGGGCAAUCUGCCCUCCGAUGGGGGAUAACCCGCCGAAAGGCGGGCUAAUACCGCAUGACAUUCCGGGGACUCCGGUCCCUGGACUCAAAGGCCGCAAGGCCGUCGGAGGAGGGGCCCGCGCCCGAUUAGCUUGUUGGCGGGGUAACGGCCCACCAAGGCUAUGAUCGGUAGCCGGUCUGAGAGGAUGGCCGGCCACACUGGAACUGAGACACGGUCCAGACUCCUACGGGAGGCAGCAGUGGGGAAUAUUGCGCAAUGGGCGAAAGCCUGACGCAGCGACGCCGCGUGGGGGAUGAAGCUUCUCGGAGUGUAAACCCCUUUCGACCCGGACGAAUGACCCGCAAGGGUUUGACGGUACGGGUAUAAGAAGCCCCGGCUAACUACGUGCCAGCAGCCGCGGUAAUACGUAGGGGGCCAGCGUUGCUCGGAAUUACUGGGCGUAAAGGGUUCGUAGGUGGUGCGGCAAGUCGGGAGUGAAAUCUCUGGGCUUAACUCAGAGGCUGCUUUCGAAACUGCCGUGCUCGAGUGCGGGAGAGGCCAGUGGAAUUGCAGGUGUAGCGGUGAAAUGCGUAGAUAUCUGCAGGAACACCCGUGGCGAAGGCGGCUGGCUGGACCGCAACUGACACUGAGGAACGAAAGCUAGGGGAGCAAACAGGAUUAGAUACCCCGGUAGUCC